RNAcentral lists this ribosomal RNA (408 nucleotides) under bacterium enrichment culture clone ALO1_GLFRUDD03FSUAG. RNAcentral describes it as "bacterial SSU rRNA". It matches the Rfam family "Bacterial small subunit ribosomal RNA", at positions 9 to 416 of the family's 1533-position model. The record is from RNAcentral.
GAGUUUGAUCUUGGCUCAGAUUGAACGCUGGCGGCAUGCCUUACACAUGCAAGUCGAACGGCAGCACGGGAGCUUGCUCCUGGUGGCGAGUGGCGAACGGGUGAGUAAUGCAUCGGAACGUAUCCUGGAGUGGGGGAUAACGUAGCGAAAGUUACGCUAAUACCGCAUAUUCUGUGAGCAGGAAAGCGGGGGACCUUCGGGCCUCGCGCUCUUGGAGCGGCCGAUGUCGGAUUAGCUAGUUGGUGAGGUAAAGGCUCACCAAGGCGACGAUCCGUAGCAGGUCUGAGAGGAUGAUCUGCCACACUGGAACUGAGACACGGUCCAGACUCCUACGGGAGGCAGCAGUGGGGAAUUUUUGGACAAUGGGGGCAACCCUGAUCCAGCCAUGCCGCGUGAGUGAAGAAGGCC